Molecule: ribosomal RNA, 440 nt
Filed under: uncultured bacterium
Lineage: Bacteria
Description: partial 16S ribosomal RNA
Rfam family: Bacterial small subunit ribosomal RNA
Source: RNAcentral
CCUACGGGUGGCAGCAGUGGGGAAUAUUGCACAAUGGGGGAAACCCUGAUGCAGCAACGCCGCGUGAGUGAAGAAGUAUCUCGGUAUGUAAAGCUCUAUCAGCAGGGAAGAAAAUGACGGUACCUGACUAAGAAGCCCCGGCUAACUACGUGCCAGCAGCCGCGGUAAUACGUAGGGGGCAAGCGUUAUCCGGAUUUACUGGGUGUAAAGGGAGCGUAGACGGUGUGGCAAGUCUGAAGUGAAAGCCCGGGGCUCAACCCCGGGACUGCUUUGGAAACUGUCAUGCUGGAGUGCUGGAGAGGUAAGCGGAAUUCCUAGUGUAGCGGUGAAAUGCGUAGAUAUCAGGAGGAACACCGGCGGCGAAGGCGGCCUGCUGGACCGCGACUGACGUUGAGGCUCGAAAGCGUGGGGAGCGAACAGGAUUAGAUACCCUGGUAGUC